This 299-nucleotide signal recognition particle RNA is filed under the name Saimiri boliviensis boliviensis (Bolivian squirrel monkey). Its description in RNAcentral is "Metazoan signal recognition particle RNA (ENSSBOG00000007780.1)". It matches the Rfam family "Metazoan signal recognition particle RNA". Rfam says of the family: The signal recognition particle (SRP) is a universally conserved ribonucleoprotein. It is involved in the co-translational targeting of proteins to membranes. The eukaryotic SRP consists of a 300-nucleotide 7S RNA and six proteins: SRPs 72, 68, 54, 19, 14, and 9. Lineage: Eukaryota; Metazoa; Chordata; Mammalia; Primates; Cebidae. The record is from RNAcentral.
GCCGGGCACAGUGGCGCGUGCCUGUAGUCCCAGCUACUCAGGAGGCUGAGGUGGGAGGAUCGCUUGAGCCCAGAAGUUCUGGGCUGUAGUGCGCUAUGCCGAUCGGGUGUCCGCACUAAGUUCGGCAUCAAUAUGGUGACCUCCCAGGAGCGGGGGACCACCAGGUUGCCUAAGGAGGGGUGAACUGGCCCAGGUCAAAAAUGGAGCAGGUCAAAACUCCCGUGCUGAUCAGUAGUGGGAUAAAGCCUGUGAAUAGCCACUGCACUCCAGCCUGGGCAACACAGCAGGACCCUUACUCU